RNAcentral lists this ribosomal RNA (753 nucleotides) under Escherichia coli. RNAcentral describes it as "partial 23S ribosomal RNA". It matches the Rfam family "Bacterial large subunit ribosomal RNA", at positions 2169 to 2916 of the family's 2925-position model. The record is from RNAcentral. Lineage: Bacteria; Pseudomonadati; Pseudomonadota; Gammaproteobacteria; Enterobacterales; Enterobacteriaceae.
CGCCAGUCUGCAUGGAGCCGACCUUGAAAUACCACCCUUUAAUGUUUGAUGUUCUAACGUUGACCCGUAAUCCGGGUUGCGGACAGUGUCUGGUGGGUAGUUUGACUGGGGCGGUCUCCUCCUAAAGAGUAACGGAGGAGCACGAAGGUUGGCUAAUCCUGGUCGGACAUCAGGAGGUUAGUGCAAUGGCAUAAGCCAGCUUGACUGCGAGCGUGACGGCGCGAGCAGGUGCGAAAGCAGGUCAUAGUGAUCCGGUGGUUCUGAAUGGAAGGGCCAUCGCUCAACGGAUAAAAGGUACUCCGGGGAUAACAGGCUGAUACCGCCCAAGAGUUCAUAUCGACGGCGGUGUUUGGCACCUCGAUGUCGGCUCAUCACAUCCUGGGGCUGAAGUAGGUCCCAAGGGUAUGGCUGUUCGCCAUUUAAAGUGGUACGCGAGCUGGGUUUAGAACGUCGUGAGACAGUUCGGUCCCUAUCUGCCGUGGGCGCUGGAGAACUGAGGGGGGCUGCUCCUAGUACGAGAGGACCGGAGUGGACGCAUCACUGGUGUUCGGGUUGUCAUGCCAAUGGCACUGCCCGGUAGCUAAAUGCGGAAGAGAUAAGUGCUGAAAGCAUCUAAGCACGAAACUUGCCCCGAGAUGAGUUCUCCCUGACCCUUUAAGGGUCCUGAAGGAACGUUGAAGACGACGACGUUGAUAGGCCGGGUGUGUAAGCGCAGCGAUGCGUUGAGCUAACCGGUACUAAUGAACCGUGAGG